This is a small nuclear RNA of Echinops telfairi (small Madagascar hedgehog), 157 nucleotides long. Its record names the gene U1. It matches the Rfam family "U1 spliceosomal RNA". Rfam says of the family: U1 is a small nuclear RNA (snRNA) component of the spliceosome (involved in pre-mRNA splicing). Its 5' end forms complementary base pairs with the 5' splice junction, thus defining the 5' donor site of an intron. There are significant differences in sequence and secondary structure between metazoan and yeast U1 snRNAs, the latter being much longer (568 nucleotides as compared to 164 nucleotides in human). NCBI's taxonomy places the organism in Eukaryota, Metazoa, Chordata, Mammalia, Afrosoricida, Tenrecidae. The record is from Ensembl.
UCACUUUUUUUUUAUACCAUGAUCACGAAGGUGGUUUUCCCAGGGCGAGGCCCAUCCAUUGCGCUCCAGAUGCACUGGCCCCUGCAAUCUCCCCAGAUGUGGGAAAUUCAACUGCAUAAUUUGUGGUAGUGGGGGACUGCGUUCCCACUCUCCCCUG